AAAUAGAACUUUGCAGAGAGAGUUAACAGGGCGUGAAACCGUUAAUUGGCAAACGAAUCGGAGCCACGAAGUCGUUUCGUGAGUCGGGCUGGGUUCAGUGGGCUUCGAAAGGAGCUUGCGUACUUCCAGCUCGGCCUUGUAAGCGUACACUGCAACCAGUUAGACGAUUGGUGGUGGGCACAGUUAGGUUACUCGGGUUAGUAGUAGUGUGGUCAAGUUUCGGCUUGAUUCGCGCUGCUGGGCUCGCGGUAGGUGAACUACCUCCAAAAACUGACUGGCUAAAUGAAAAUCGCCUAAUGGGCGUGCAUAGAACGCGGUAACUGCACUCGGGACUACAUGCUGGACCAUGGGGUUUAAGCUCAGCAUCUUUGAAUUUGGACUUGCUUGCUACCAGUGGGGCAACUCCUGGUGCUUGUAUAGCUUCCAUCUAAUCGGGUGUUGACUUGAUUCCAUGUCGCUCUAGCAUGCUACGAUCGGCUUCAAGUGCAAGCUACUUAGCAAUCUUAUUGGCAGUGAGUAGGUCGGCUUUCCGAACGACCCGUCUUGAAACACGGACCAAGGAGUCUAAUUAGGCAUCAAGUCGAUCGGUCUUGAAUAGGCCAGACUGGGCGGCUUCGUCCGAUUGAAGGCGCAGAGACAAUCAUGUGAUCAGGCGGGCAACAACAGCCUCCAUGCGCAACAUGUGCCUGUUCAAUUGAGUGUGCUUGCACUCUAGAGCGGAGCAAAGAGAUGCCUGAUUGGUACCCGAAAGAUGGUGAUGCUUGGGCAAAUUGAAGCCAGAGGAAACUCUGGUGGAGGAUUGUAGCGAUUCUGACGUGCAAAUCGAUCGUCAGACCUGAGUAUAGGGGCGAAAGACUAAUCGAACCAUC
Molecule: ribosomal RNA, 869 nt
Filed under: Quadracus cudraniae
Lineage: Eukaryota; Metazoa; Arthropoda; Arachnida; Trombidiformes; Diptilomiopidae
Description: partial large subunit ribosomal RNA
Rfam family: Eukaryotic large subunit ribosomal RNA
Source: RNAcentral